CCUACGGGAGGCAGCAGUGGGGAAUAUUGCACAAUGGGGGGAACCCUGAUGCAGCAACGCCGCGUGGGUGAAGAAGUACUUCGGUAUGUAAAGCCCUGUCAGCAGGGAAGAAAAUGACGGUACCUGACCAAGAAGCCCCGGCUAACUACGUGCCAGCAGCCGCGGUAAUACGUAGGGGGCAAGCGUUAUCCGGAUUUACUGGGUGUAAAGGGAGCGUAGACGGCAAGGCAAGUCUGGAGUGAAAGCCCGUGGCUCAACCACGGGACUGCUUUGGAAACUGUGUUGCUGGAGUGCAGGAGGGGUAAGCGGAAUUCCUAGUGUAGCGGUGAAAUGCGUAGAUAUUAGGAGGAACACCGGUGGCGAGGGCGGCUUACUGGACUGUAACUGACGUGGAGGCUCGAAGGCGUGGGGAGCAAACAGGAUUAGAUACCCCGGUAGUC
RNAcentral lists this ribosomal RNA (440 nucleotides) under uncultured bacterium. RNAcentral describes it as "partial 16S ribosomal RNA". It matches the Rfam family "Bacterial small subunit ribosomal RNA", at positions 338 to 795 of the family's 1533-position model. The record is from RNAcentral.